RNAcentral lists this ribosomal RNA (1044 nucleotides) under Pseudohaplosplanchnus catbaensis. RNAcentral describes it as "partial large subunit ribosomal RNA". It matches the Rfam family "Eukaryotic large subunit ribosomal RNA", at positions 147 to 785 of the family's 3401-position model. The record is from RNAcentral. Lineage: Eukaryota; Metazoa; Platyhelminthes; Trematoda; Plagiorchiida; Haplosplanchnidae.
GGUGUUCAGGUCAUCUCGCAGUGAUGCUGCUCCACUCCAAGUCCAGAAAUGAGUACGGCAUUAUGGACAUGGCCCAUUGAGGGUGAAAGGCCCGUGGGGGUGGAGGCACAGAUAUGACGGCGUCACUCUGAGUAGACCUUGGAGUCGGGUUGUUUGUGAUUGCAGCCCAAAGUGGGUGGUAAACUCCAUCCAAGGCUAAAUACUUACACGAGUCCGAUAGCGAACAAGUACCGUGAGGGAAAGUUGAAAAGUACUUUGAAGAGAGAGUAAACAGUGCGUGAAACCGCUCAGAGGUAAACGGGUGGAGUUGAACUGCAAGCUCUGGGAAUUCAGCUGGUGAGCAUUGUUUGAGCUUGGGCAAAUUGGUUGAUCUUCGGAGUCUGCUUAGCCGCAGGCCCUUGCCUUCGGGCUGGGAUUCGCGAUACACUUAUCAAGUGUUGCGUGCUUCGUUGAUUAUCGAGCUAGCUUGCCAGUGCACUUUCUCAGAGUGGUCACCACGACCAGCGCUGCUGCCUGGCUGGUGCGGUUAAACCGGUUCGUCUUGGUGCAUAACCUUGGCGGAUCGGGAUGGCAGGUAGCCCGUUGGCUUGCGUGAUGGCUUUGCUGUCACGUCGGUUUUCGGGUGUAAUCCGCUGACUGUAUCAGUUCUGUGCAGUGCGUUGGAGACGGCGGCUGAUGGUUGAUUCAUGCGUGCUAAGUCCUUCGGCGGGUUCGUGUCCGGCUGUCUGUUGCUUGUUCAAGCAGGCCUGAUGGCGGCUCGGGUUCGUCUGUUGGGCGGCUGCGUGCGUUUGUCGAACCGGUGCCUACAGUCUGUGGUGUAGUGGUAGACGAUCCACCCGACCCGUCUUGAAACACGGACCAAGGAGAGUAACAUGUGCGCGAGUCAUUGGGCGUUACGAAACCCAAAGGCGCAGUGAAAGUAAAGGUUCGGCUUGUCCGGAUUGAGGUGAGAUCCUGUUGUUUCUCAUGCGCGGUACCACCAAGCAGCGAGCAGCAGGCGCAUCACCGGCCCGUCCCAUAACGUGAUUGUGAUUUUCGUAUGCC